AUUAAACGCUGGCGGCAUGCCUUACACAUGCAAGUCGAACGGCAGCACGGGGGCAACCCUGGUGGCGAGUGGCGAACGGGUGAGUAAAGCAUCGGAACGUGCCCUGGAGUGGGGGGAUAACGUAGCGAAAGUUACGCUAAUACCGCAUAUUCUGUGAGCAGGAAAGCAGGGGAUCGCAAGACCUUGCGCUCUGGGAGCGGCCGAUGUCGGAUUAGCUAGUUGGUGGGGUAAAGGCUCACCAAGGCGACGAUCCGUAGCUGGUCUGAGAGGACGACCAGCCACACUGGAACUGAGACACGGUCCAGACUCCUACGGGAGGCAGCAGUGGGGAAUUUUGGACAAUGGGCGCAAGCCUGAUCCAGCCAUUCCGCGUGAGUGAAGAAGGCCUCGGGUUGUAAAGGACUCUUUCGUCAAGGAAAGGAAAACUUAAUACUCCUAAUACGAGGUGAGGUUGACGGUACCGUU
Molecule: ribosomal RNA, 465 nt
Filed under: uncultured bacterium
Lineage: Bacteria
Description: bacterial SSU rRNA
Rfam family: Bacterial small subunit ribosomal RNA
Source: RNAcentral